RNAcentral lists this long non-coding RNA (1297 nucleotides) under Triticum aestivum (bread wheat). RNAcentral describes it as "long non-coding RNA (TAES_LNC016480)". Lineage: Eukaryota; Viridiplantae; Streptophyta; Magnoliopsida; Poales; Poaceae. The record is from RNAcentral.
UCCACACACAGCUUGUUCCACUAAUUUCUCAGUGUGGUCAGUUACUUCAGUAACAGUAGUAAGAGGUACAGUUUCAUCCACAAAAGUGAUAAACUGCCCUUUAGGAGCAGAUAUCUUCAUUUCCAUCUUAAUGAAAUCCAUUUGUAUGGGGCUAUAUUUCCUCAACCAAUCUACUCCUAAGAUGAUGUCAUAGCCUUUUAACUUUAGUACUCUGAAGCUGUCAAUAAAUGCAUGGCCUUGUAUUGCAUAGUGACAGUUCUUUGCUUGGAAUUCACUCCAAAGGAUCCCUCCACUAGCAACUACUACUUUAGUUUUUGGUGUAGGACUGGGAACAACAUCCAACUUACUAGCCAUCUGAGGAGAUAUAAAAGUAGUAGUACUGCCACUGUCCACCAGUGCAAUUGCCAGAGUAUUUCCCAAUUUAACUGUCAAUAUGAAAGUAUUUUUAGUUGCUCCAAUGCCCAUGGCAGCAUGCAUUGAUACUUUCAGUACUGUUUCCUCAGUUAGCUGCUCUGUAUUGUCUAGCUCCUGAUCAUCAUAUUCUACCACAAAUAUAGUUUUAGGAGUUCCAUCUUCUUGAGCUUGUAGAGCUUGGAUUUGAGCUUUCUGGUUCAUUUUACACACUUGCCUAUGACCAGGCACCCAAGGCUCUCUACAUUUAUAACACACCUGGUUCUGUUUGGCCUGCUGAAUAACCACAUUCCUGUUUUGUGGUGCAGUUGGAAGCAGUUGUUUGGGCUGUUCAAAAAUGACUUGUCUUUUUGGUUGAGGAACAUACUGCUUAUUUUGCACUGACUGAGAGGAAGGCUGAGAUUUCUUCGUUCUUCUGGCAUACCACACUGCAGUUUGCAGAUCUUUUGGUUUAAAACAUUCCACUAAACUUCUGAUGUAAGGGUUGAGGCCUGAGACAAAGCUGGAGACAUAAUAGUCAUCAGGUAUAGCAGGGUUUUCUCUCCUCAUUCCAUUGACCAAUUGCUCAAAUUGUUCCACAUAAGCAGCCACUGUUGUUGCUUGAUGUGCAGCAUGAAAGUUACUGACCACAUCACAAGCUGAUUCCACAGAGAACCUAUCAGGUAGGUAAGAACAGAAUUUAUGCCAUGGCACAUUGGAGGGUGCAUAUCCAGUACCCCUCCACCACUGAAUAGCAGGUCCUUUAAGAUAAGAAAUUGCCAGUUCUGUUCUAUGUUCAAUGGGAGUUCUUGCAGCAGCAAAAUACUGUUCCAAAUUCUGAAUCCAUGACUCAGGAUCUUGUCCUUCAAAUUCUGAUAUGUUCAACUUAGCAGGCUUAACAGUCAGA